Long non-coding RNA from Mercenaria mercenaria, 868 nucleotides. RefSeq lists it as uncharacterized. NCBI's taxonomy places the organism in Eukaryota, Metazoa, Mollusca, Bivalvia, Venerida, Veneridae. The transcript has 3 exons. The record is from RefSeq and is a predicted model, not a curated record.
UGUAUUCUAGGUAGUUCCGCCAUAAAAUUUAUACUGUCAUACCAUCGCUUCUUACUUCACUGAAUUUAUUCUCAUUCAAUAUGAGAAUAAUAUUAUAAUUAUUUUUUUUAGAUAGUUCACUCUUGUGUUAUUACAAUAAAUACUGGAUAUUUAAACUUUUUAUCACAAAAAUAAAGCAUGUCAGAAAAAUGACAGGUUUAUAGUAAAAAAAUUUCCCCUCUAGUGUUAAGUAUUGUGUCUUGUGUCCCAUUCUACCAUUGGCUGUCGCUGAAAGAAAAUGUUUUUCGAAUGAUGGAUGGCAAACUUGAUCAAAGUUGUAUUUUAUUCUAGAAAUUGGAUUUAGAUUUGGGUGGAUUAGAAGUUGAUUUAGCCAUUAAAUUGGAAUUUAAGAAGAAGUAAAUUUAUUUGAAUUAAAUGAUAUUGUGAUUUUGUAUAUACAAACUUAGUUGUGAAAUAUAUUGAUCAAAAAUAGUGAUUUGCAAGGGAAAAUACUUUGAAAAUCACAAGGUGGAUUUUGGUUUUAAAACAGGUCAUUUGCAUUUAAUGGACUUGUAAAGUUAUGUGGCUAAAUUGUGGAAGUUGUUAAGUGAAUCAGUUUCGUACACAAUUGACAAAGACUUGCUGUAAUUGGAUAUAUUGAUUCGAGGACAGGAUGAGUGAAUUCUGUGGAAAUUGUGAAAUAUAAAGGAAUUAACUAAAAACUGGUAAGAUAUGCCAUACUUUUCAGUGUGAUAGUGAUACAAGUGUACAAUUGUAUAACAUCUUGGAUAUUUGGUGUUCUGAUUUGAUUUUUAGCUCAUCUGAUUUUUAGCUCACCCGAGCACGAAGUGCUCAAUGGUGAGCUUUUGUGAUCGCCCUGUGUCCAUCG